This 2929-nucleotide ribosomal RNA is filed under the name Brevibacillus brevis. RNAcentral describes it as "23S ribosomal RNA". It matches the Rfam family "Bacterial large subunit ribosomal RNA". Lineage: Bacteria; Bacillati; Bacillota; Bacilli; Caryophanales; Paenibacillaceae. The record is from RNAcentral.
GGUUAAGUUACUAAGGGCACACGGUGGAUGCCUUGGCGCUAGGAGCCGAAGAAGGACGCAGCGAACUGCGAUAAGCCUCGGGGAGCGGUAAGCACGCUUUGAUCCGGGGAUCUCCGAAUGGGGCAACCCACCAUCCGUAAUGGGAUGGUAUCCGUAUCUGAAUCCAUAGGGUACGAGAAGGCAGACCCGGUGAACUGAAACAUCUAAGUAGCCGGAGGAAGAGAAAACAAUAGUGAUUCCGUCAGUAGCGGCGAGCGAACGCGGAAGAGCCUAAACCGUCGGGUUUACCCGGCGGGGUUGUGGGACGUCUCACUAGGAGUUACAAAAGACUCUUGUAGAUGAACAGUUUGGGAAAGCUGACCAAAGAGCGUGACAGUCGCGUAAUCCAAACAAGAGUCUCUCCGAGACGGAUCCCGAGUAGCGCGGGACACGUGAAAUCCCGUGUGAAUCUGGCAGGACCAUCUGCUAAGGCUAAAUACUACCUAGCGACCGAUAGUGAACCAGUACCGUGAGGGAAAGGUGAAAAGCACCCCGGGAGGGGAGUGAAAUAGUACCUGAAACCGUGUGCUUACAAAUAGUCGGAGCCCGUUAAAAGGGUGACGGCGUGCCUUUUGUAGAAUGAACCGGCGAGUUACGGUAGCGUGCGAGGUUAAGUCGAAGAGACGGAGCCGCAGCGAAAGCGAGUCUGAAUAGGGCGCAAGUACGUUGCCGUAGACCCGAAACCGUGUGAUCUAGCCAUGUCCAGGGUGAAGGUAGGGUAACACCUACUGGAGGCCCGAACCCACGCACGUUGAAAAGUGCGGGGAUGAGGUGUGGCUAGCGGUGAAAUUCCAAUCGAACUCGGAGAUAGCUGGUUCUCCCCGAAAUAGCUUUAGGGCUAGCCUCGGAAUUAGAGUCUUGGAGGUAGAGCACUGAUUGGGCUAGGGGCCCUCAUCGGGUUACCGAACUCAGUCAAACUCCGAAUGCCAAUGACUUAUGUCCGGGAGUCAGACGGUGAGUGCUAAGAUCCAUCGUCAAAAGGGAAACAGCCCAGACCAUCAGCUAAGGUCCCCAAGUAUACGUUAAGUGGGAAACGAUGUGGAGUUGCCCAGACAACCAGGAUGUUGGCUUAGAAGCAGCCACCAUUUAAAGAGUGCGUAAUAGCUCACUGGUCGAGUGACUCUGCGCGGAAAAUGUAACGGGGCUAAACGUAUCACCGAAGCUAUGGCAGUCCUUACGGACUGGGUAGGGGAGCGUUCCAAGCAGCAGUGAAGCCGUACUGGAAAGAGCGGUGGAGCGCUUGGAAGUGAGAAUGCCGGUGUAAGUAGCGAAAAGACAAGUGAGAAUCUUGUCCACCGAAAGCCUAAGGGUUCCUGGGGAAGGCUCGUCCUCCCAGGGUUAGUCGGGACCUAAGCUGAGGCCGAAAGGCGUAGGCGAUGGACAACAGGUUGAUAUUCCUGUACCACCUCUGUUCCGCUUGAGCAAUGGCGUGACGCAGGAGGAUAGGGUGAGCGGCCUACUGGAUGGCCGUCCAAGCAGUGAGCCUGGUGUGUAGGCAAAUCCGCACAUCGUAAGGGCAAGCUGUGAUGGCGAGGGAAAUUUUAGUACCGAAGUCCCUGAUUUCACACUGCCAAGAAAAGCGUCUAGCGAGGAACAAGGUGCCCGUACCGCAAACCGACACAGGUAGGCGAGGAGAGAAUCCUAAGGUGCGCGGGAUAACUCUUGCUAAGGAACUCGGCAAAAUGGCCCCGUAACUUCGGGAGAAGGGGCGCCCCGGUAGCGUGUCAAAGCGCGAGGGGGCCGCAGUGAAAAGGCCCAAGCGACUGUUUAGCAAAAACACAGGUCUCUGCGAAGCCGCAAGGCGAAGUAUAGGGGCUGACGCCUGCCCGGUGCUGGAAGGUUAAGGGGAUGAGUUAGCGCAAGCGAAGCUUUGAACCGAAGCCCCAGUAAACGGCGGCCGUAACUAUAACGGUCCUAAGGUAGCGAAAUUCCUUGUCGGGUAAGUUCCGACCCGCACGAAAGGCGUAACGACUUGGGCGCUGUCUCGGCAAGAGACCCGGUGAAAUCAUAAUACCUGUGAAGAUGCAGGUUACCCGCGACAAGACGGAAAGACCCCAUGGAGCUUUACUGUAGCCUGGUAUUGGAACUUUGUGCAUCAUGUACAGGAUAGGUGGGAAGCUGAGAAGCAGGGGCGCCAGCCUCUGUGGAGCUGUCGGUGGGAUACCACCCUUGAUGUACGGAGUUUCUAACUCGUCGCCCUGAUCGGGCGAGAGGACCAUGCCAGGUGGGCAGUUUGACUGGGGCGGUCGCCUCCCAAAAGGUAACGGAGGCGCCCAAAGGUUCCCUCAGAAUGGUCGGAAAUCAUUCGUAGAGUGUAAAGGCAGAAGGGAGCUUGACUGCGAGACCUACAAGUCGAGCAGGGACGAAAGUCGGGCUUAGUGAUCCGGUGGUUCCGCAUGGAAGGGCCAUCGCUCAACGGAUAAAAGCUACCCUGGGGAUAACAGGCUUAUCUCCCCCAAGAGUCCACAUCGACGGGGAGGUUUGGCACCUCGAUGUCGGCUCAUCGCAUCCUGGGGCUGAAGUAGGUCCCAAGGGUUGGGCUGUUCGCCCAUUAAAGCGGUACGCGAGCUGGGUUCAGAACGUCGUGAGACAGUUCGGUCCCUAUCUGUCGCGGGCGCAGGAAGUUUGAGGAGAGCUGUCCUUAGUACGAGAGGACCGGGAUGGACGCACCGCUGGUGCACCAGUUGUCACGCCAGUGGCACAGCUGGGUAGCUAUGUGCGGACGGGAUAAGCGCUGAAAGCAUCUAAGCGUGAAGCCCCCUCCAAGAUGAGACUUCCCACAGCGUUAAGCUGGUAAGACCCCUUAUAGACGAUGAGGUUGAUAGGUUCGGUGUGGAAGCGCGGCAACGCGUGGAGCUGACGAAUACUAAUCGGUCGAGGGCUUAUCCAC